Molecule: ribosomal RNA, 34 nt
Filed under: Henrya insularis
Lineage: Eukaryota; Viridiplantae; Streptophyta; Magnoliopsida; Lamiales; Acanthaceae
Description: partial 26S ribosomal RNA
Source: RNAcentral
CCGACCGCGACCCCAGGUCAGGCGGGAUUACCAG